Molecule: ribosomal RNA, 301 nt
Filed under: uncultured bacterium
Lineage: Bacteria
Description: partial 16S ribosomal RNA
Rfam family: Bacterial small subunit ribosomal RNA
Source: RNAcentral
CAGUAGCCGCGGGAAUACAGAGGGUGCGAGCGUUAAUCGGAUUUACUGGGCGUAAAGCGUGCGUAGGCGGCUUUUUAAGUCGGAUGUGAAAUCCCUGAGCUUAACUUAGGAAUUGCAUUCGAUACUGGGAAGCUAGAGUAUGGGAGAGGAUGGUAGAAUUCCAGGUGUAGCGGUGAAAUGCGUAGAGAUCUGGAGGAAUACCGAUGGCGAAGGCAGCCAUCUGGCCUAAUACUGACGCUGAGGUACGAAACCAUGGGGAGCAAACAGGAUUAGAUACCCGUGUAGUCCCUGUCUCUUAUAC